GGCCACACGUUGGACCAGUGCACGAGCGAAAGAGGGAGAAAGGAGAGGAAAGAGUGGGAGUAAGCAUAAAACAAAAGAGAGAGGGGGGAAAAAGCACGUCACGAAAAAGAGAGUGAAAAAAAAACACUUUAUCCUUUAGCAGAGUGACCGAUCGUAGCGCGUCAUUCGCUGUCCACUUCGUUUCAAUCUCCCAAAUUUUUUUUUGUUCAUUUGUUCUAUAGAUCUAGAUCUAUUGGUUUACAAAAGGCUCAUAAUAAUAUUAUUAAUUGGACCCUACGUCUUAUGAAAGUGAUAGGGGACAGGUUUCUUUCUUUUAAAAAGUGCAGAAACUUGUUUGUGUGUAAAUAAGAAAUAAAACUUGCAGGUGUACAGUAUAAUUAAUUACUGCCAUCUUAUUUCUUUUUCUUAUUCUGCUUGUGGAGGAGAUCAUUGGAUAUGAUACCUAUGGAAUAAUAAUAUAAUCUUAUAAGAUUUCAUUAGAAUUACUCAACAUCAGUUUUUCUGUGCCGUGUUUUCAUCAUUUGAAUUUUUUCUGAUGAUAUAUUAAACGGUUGGAAAUAGCGGAGAUGCGUGGUGGUAUGAAGGGAAUACAGUGAUGACUUCAACUACGACAUAGGCUUUGAAAAUAUUUAGAAAGCAGCCCAGAAUGAACAUACCAAACUGUACAGAGGAAGGAUUCUGUUGACAAAGUGAACGUCACAGACAAGGAAAUAAAUAAGCUCUGCAGACUCGGAUUUUUUUUAUGGUUUAACAGGCACGUGAUCAUCAAACAUCUAAGCCACUAAUAAGCUCAAGUAGUCUUCAAUAGAACCAAGCCUCCAUCAAGCCUCUUUCAGCCAAUCAAUCAGGGGCAGCACAGAAGUCAAAGUACUCUGACAUUGGUCUCGACAUUAUUCGACAACUGUGUAAAAAAAAAAAACGCCGUGUUGCAAAGUCACGUGACGAGGGUCUAAAUCUAGUCGGCACGUGCCCCAGCACGUUAAAAAAAAAUUCAAAUAUAGUUUCAGGUCUGGGUAGCCAUUACGGAGAAUAAUUGUGAUGCUAGAGACACA
Molecule: long non-coding RNA, 1052 nt
Organism: Biomphalaria glabrata
Lineage: Eukaryota; Metazoa; Mollusca; Gastropoda; Planorbidae
Exons: 4
Source: RefSeq, a predicted model, not a curated record